RNAcentral lists this ribosomal RNA (214 nucleotides) under uncultured bacterium. Its description in RNAcentral is "partial 16S ribosomal RNA". It matches the Rfam family "Bacterial small subunit ribosomal RNA", at positions 1286 to 1500 of the family's 1533-position model. The record is from RNAcentral.
UCUCAGUUCGGAUUGAAGGCUGAAAUUCGCCUUCAUGAAGCCGGAAUUGCUAGUAAUGGCAGGUCAGCAUACUGCCGUGAAUACGUUCCCGGGCCUUGUACACACCGCCCGCCACACCAUGAGAGUUGGGAAUACCCGAAGCCUGUGAGCUAACUUUUAGAGGCAGCAGUCGAAGGUAGAAUCAAUGAUUGGGGUGAAGUCGUAACAAGGUAUC